UAAAUAUAUUUAGAAGAAGAAGAGGAGUUGGAAGAGGAAGAGGAGGAAGAAGAAGAGGAGCAACAACUCCUCCCAGGAGUGUGAUAUUUGUGGAAUAUGAAGAGCAAGGUGCAAACAGCAAUUUCUGAUGCCCAAGGAUUAGGCAGAAGGCCUCAGAAGAUACACAGGAGAGAAGGGCUUUCACCUGCUGGAAGCAAACAGGAAUCAAUAUGGUGAUCUAUGCAUAGUAGACAGAUAAAAACGGGAAUUUGGGCAGAUGUGCCAAGGGUAGACGUUUGGGCAAGAAGUCUGGACCCUCCGUUGCAUGGUUGCAAAGGAGGCUGCUGCAGUGGUCUCAAUGAGAACUGUAAGGGCCUCUGACCGCAGUCUUCCUCUGUCUAUUUGUGGUAAUAUUGGAUAAGUCUACUUUUUAAUCUUUUUUAUUUGGUCACUUGUUUCUUUUUGUAGGAACAAAAUGCUGGCAAGAAGGAAGGAAACUAGGGUGUUUCAAUUUGAUAUCCUGCUGUUAAAGACUAGGGGAAAUGAUUGGAUCUGUGAGAAGAAACAUUGUAAUCAAAAUGUAAAAAGUUAGACAACUUGGUUUUUCUUAUACCUUGUGUUAUUACAUAAUAUUCUUUCAAAUUUUCUUAUUUUGAUACUCUUACCUAGGUGAGGCAGAACUGCAAAUAGUCUCAAGACAUAUAUUCCUCUUUUUUCCUUAAAAAUGAAAUACUAAUUUUUUUGUUGAGCUCAUAGACUUUGGAGCAAGGUUUUAUAGGUAAGGUUACUAGAUAUGGUAAGGAAACUAACUUCUGGUCACAUACAAUGUGUGAUACAGAGUGUGAUUCUCAGAAGGUUUUUUUUUAUUGGUUGUUCUAAACAUUACAAUGCUCUUGACAUAUCAUAUUUCAUAUAUUUGAUUCAAGUGGGUUAUGAACUCCCAUUUUUACCACGUAUACAGAAUGCAGAGUCACAUUGGUUACACAUCCACGUUUUUACAUAUUGCCAUGCUAGUGUCUGUUGUAUUUUGCUGCCUUUCCUAUCUCCUCCUCUCCCCCUCCUCUCCCCUCCCCUCCCAUCUUCUCUCUCUACCCCCUCUACUGUAAUUCAUUUCUCUCUCUUGUUUUUUUUUCCCUUUCCCCUCACAUCCUCUUAUAUGUAAUUUUGUAUAACGAUGAGGGUCUCCUUCCAUUUCAGAAGGUGUUUUUUUUUUUAAUUUUUAUUGUUGGUUGUUUAAAACAUUACAUAGUUCUUGACAUAUCAUAUUUCACACUUUGAUUCAAGUGGGUUAUGAACUUCCAUUUUUACCCCGUAUACAGAUUGCAGAAUCACAUCGGUUACACAUCCAAUGAUUUACAUAUUGCUAUACUAGUGUCUGUUGUAUUCUGCUGCCUUUCCUAUCCUCUACUAUCCCCCCUUCCCUCACCUCCCCUCCCCUCUUCUCUCUCUACCCCAUCUACUGUAAUUCAUUUCUCCCCCUUGUUUUUUUUUCCCCUUCCCCUCACUUCCUCUUGUAUGUAAUUUUGUAUAACCCUGAGGGUCUCCUUCCAUUUCCAUGCAAUUUCCCUUCUCUCUCCCUUUCCCUCCCACCUCUCAUCCCUUAAUGUUUAAUCUUCUUCUCAUGCUCUUCCUCCCUACUCUGUUCUUAGUUACUCUCCUUAUAUCAAAGAAGACAUUUGGCAUUUGUUUUUUAGGGAUUGGC
This 1681-nucleotide long non-coding RNA is filed under the name Marmota monax (woodchuck). The record is from RNAcentral. Lineage: Eukaryota; Metazoa; Chordata; Mammalia; Rodentia; Sciuridae.